Non-coding RNA from Phascolarctos cinereus (koala), 811 nucleotides. The record is from RefSeq and is a predicted model, not a curated record. NCBI's taxonomy places the organism in Eukaryota, Metazoa, Chordata, Mammalia, Diprotodontia, Phascolarctidae.
CCUGACCUGGGUUGGAGGAAAAGUGUCUUCAGUAAUUCCCCAGGGGAUCCCUUGCGCCCUAGGUCUCCAGUGGAGUACCACAGGGCUCUGUACUUAGCCGUCGGCGGUGUGACGCACUGAUCAAGUGGCUUGGACGAGGAUGGCUGACGCAGUUCACAACCCUUGGGUGCAAAUAAUGGCUUUCACAAGGGGGCGGGGCUUAGAGGUCAUCAGUUCUAAAAAUGAUCUGGGGGUCCUAGUGGACCACAAGCUUAGAGCGUGUCCAAGGGACGGGACGGGACAAAGCGAGAAGGGGCCAAAGCCCCAGAAUCACUUUGGGCUGCGGUAGAUGAUUAAGAGGUGGACUCCACCUGCCCUGGAGGACUGAUGAAGAAUAGGGGUGUGUCUGGCCUGAAGAAAAGAAGGCUGGGGAAGGGAAAGGGGCAGCUGGACCAUAUUCAGGCCAUCUGAAAAUUUGAUCAGCAUGCCAUCAUUCAAGCACUGACGAGGUUUGUGUUGAGGAGAGCAUCCCGUGGCCUUCUGCUAGAACCUUCCUUCCAAGUGGACACACCACUGUUCUCUGGGUCUGACCAAUCAUUAAACCCCAAACGGACCUAAGCUAAGAGACAAGGCUAUGGCCAGGAGAGUGGGCAGGGGACAGGCCUCUAGCAGGUCCCCAGUGAUGACCGGCAUGGCUGCUCUGUGAGGACCAGGCCCCCCAUCUUCAAAGACCAUCAUGCUCAGACGUGGGACCACCAGAUGAUCCAAUGCUUAGGUCCAAGCAACUCACGAUGACCACCAAAGGCCAGAGUUCUGAAUCUGGGGUCCGUUU